AAAAAACAAGAUAAAAUGACGUCGUUUUUAUCUCGCUUUAA
Molecule: small RNA, 41 nt
Filed under: Salix viminalis (osier)
Lineage: Eukaryota; Viridiplantae; Streptophyta; Magnoliopsida; Malpighiales; Salicaceae
Source: RNAcentral